GUCUAUGGCCAUAAAACCCUGAACACGCCUGAUCUUGUCUGGUCUUGAAGCUAAGCAGGGUCCGACUUGGUUAGUACUUAAUGGGAGACUGCCUGGGAAUACCGAGUGCUGUAAUUU
RNAcentral lists this ribosomal RNA (117 nucleotides) under Sorex araneus (European shrew). The record is from RNAcentral. Lineage: Eukaryota; Metazoa; Chordata; Mammalia; Eulipotyphla; Soricidae.